Molecule: ribosomal RNA, 253 nt
Filed under: uncultured bacterium
Lineage: Bacteria
Description: partial 16S ribosomal RNA
Rfam family: Bacterial small subunit ribosomal RNA
Source: RNAcentral
UACGUAGGGUGCAGGCGUUAAUCGGAAUUACUGGGCGUAAAUCGUGCGCAGGCGGUUUGCUAAGACAGGUGUGAAAUCCCCGGGCUUAACCUGGGAACUGCGCUUGUAACUGGCAAGCUAGAGUGUGGCAGAGGGGGGUGGAAUUCCACGUGUAGCAGUGAAAUGCGUAGAGAUGUGGAGGAACACCGAUGGCGAAGGCAGCCCCCUGGGCUAACACUGACGCUCAUGCACGAAAGCGUGGGGAGCAAACAGG